This 756-nucleotide ribosomal RNA is filed under the name uncultured bacterium. RNAcentral describes it as "bacterial SSU rRNA". It matches the Rfam family "Bacterial small subunit ribosomal RNA", at positions 8 to 796 of the family's 1533-position model. The record is from RNAcentral.
AGAGUUUGAUCCUGGCUCAGAAUCAACGCUGGCGGCGCGCUUAACACAUGCAAGUCGCACGAGAAAGUGGAGCAAUCCAUGAGUAAAGUGGCGUACGGGUGAGUAACACGUGGAUCAUCUGCCCUUUAGUGGGGAAUAACCCUGGGAAACCGGGGCUAAUACCGCAUAAGCCUGAGAAGGGAAAGCAGCAAUGCGCUGAAGGAGGAGUCCGCGGCCGAUUAGCUAGUUGGUAGGGUAAUGGCCUACCAAGGCAAUGAUCGGUAGCCGGCCUGAGAGGGCACACGGCCACACUGGCACUGAAACACGGGCCAGACUCCUACGGGAGGCAGCAGUGGGGAAUCUUGCACAAUGGAGGAAACUCUGAUGCAGCGACGCCGCGUGAGCGAUGAAGCCCUUCGGGGUGUAAAGCUCUUUCGACAGGAACGAUAAUGACGGUACCUGGAGAAGAAGCUGCGGCUAACUACGUGCCAGCAGCCGCGGUAAUACGUAGGCAGCAAGCGUUGUUCGGAAUUACUGGGCGUAAAGAGUGUGUAGGCGGUUCUCUAAGUUCGGUGUGAAAUCUCCCGGCUCAACUGGGAGGGUGCGCCGGAAACUGGAGGGCUUGAGUAUGGGAGAGGAAGGCGGAAUUCCUGGUGUAGCGGUGAAAUGCGUAGAUAUCAGGAGGAACACCUGCGGUGUAGACAGCUUUCUGGACCAUCACUGACGCUGAGACACGAAAGCGUGGGUAGCAAACAGGAUUAGAUACCCUAGUAGUCC